GUCCUGCUGAGGAGUCCCAAACUAGGACGAAACAGCUGUCCAGUAC
RNAcentral lists this non-coding RNA (46 nucleotides) under Trichobilharzia regenti. Lineage: Eukaryota; Metazoa; Platyhelminthes; Trematoda; Strigeidida; Schistosomatidae. The record is from RNAcentral.